AUCAGGACUGUGGGUUUCGUUACCAUAAAAGAGGAGGGCCUUUUUAUAACAUACCACAAAAUAUGUAGCGAAAUUUCCAUUCAUUGUCAUGUAGGUCUUUUGCAAUGAGCUCCAGGCAUGGAGGCUGCAGAGAGAAAUCCUGUAGAAAAUUGAACGUGUCAUAUAUCUAAUUAACCCAAUUUAAAAUGCACAAAAUAUGACCAUUUCUUAUAAAUGGAUUGACAAAAACAAACUAAAUUUUACUGUACGUUACCAAUGGACGGAAGACUUCCUCAGCAGAACGUCGAGGAAGAGAAAAUCCACCAUGUGUACUUGUAUCACUUGCACUCAAAGUCUUGCAGAAGUAAUUAGUCGGCUGCUUGCUAGCAGCACCCAGCUCGAUUGGAAGAAAAGGCUCCUUUUGCUCUUUGUGUCAUUGGAACCUCACGAUGAAUACAUAAUAAUUAUUUCAAUAUUGUAACCUACAUAACCUGUUAUCAGAAUCCAGGCUACAAGAAGAGAGAAAUGUGAUUAAUACCGGGCUCAACAGCUGUAGUGUCAUUUGGGCAUAAACUUCAUCAGUCUCUACAUCGGCCUGCAUUAGCAUCAAGAAAUGAUCUCACGGCACCUCUUAGAAGACUACAUGAUGGUCCCUUCUAUGUGUGAAGUGUAAACUUGCAUGCAUCGUUACAUUAUGAAGCUGGCAGAUCAACUGAGGGGGGAGAUUUGGAUAAUUAGGGAUUUGAGCAUCAACCUCCUUAUUAGUUGAUGCAGCAACCUACGCAAAUGUAAAAUCACUUUAGAGAACUGCACUAAAAAUGGCUUUAGAAAACUGUAAUUGGACAACAUCCAUGCAACAAAAUUGAUUCUGCAUAUAAUGACACCCUUAAUAUUUCACUAAAGCUAUGUCUCAGUAGAAUCGCAAACCAUAUGAUGUUUACAUGCUGCAUUGGGAAAAGAAUAAGAACCUCCUGAGCACUAAGGGAACAAACUAUACUUUAGCUUUAUCUUUAUAUUUUUUAAAAACAUAAUCUAUAUUGAUGGUACAAACUGAUAAAACCUACGGACCUGCUCACUAUGACCCUGUGGAAAAUAGAUGACUCGGCUUCCAACCGCGGGCAGAGACACGAGGGGCCCAGCGCAUGCAUGCCAUAGCUCCGAGUUCAGACACCUUUGCUCCCCUGAAAGGUUCCAAGCACAAAUGAGCNUAUCGGCGAGGUGGGUGAGGUUGGCAAGACCGUCGGGCUCGUCGCCGCUCGCCGCUGCUGCCUUGCGAGUCCUCUAUGUUUCUGCUCUCUACGAAGACUCUCCUGGUUGUUGUGGUGGCUCCUGGACCCCUCCCAUCCGCGUGUCCACAGCCAGAGCUCGUCCGCUAGCGACUCCGCCGCCAACCCUAGGCAACACCCCUGCUGGUUGCGCCCUCGGCCGUGUCACCAAUCGGCAGAUGAAGGCCGCGGAGGUGCGGGCGCCUGGGACAAGGGGAGGAGCAUCGACGGGGUAGGCGGGGUGCGACGGCGUGGCAGGGGACGCGGCACGCGGCGGCGUGGCAAGGGUGGCGAUGCGCUGGAGAUGGAAGAUGGGACUGGGUGCCGGUCCUGGGUCGUGUCGUUGGGGGUUCUUUUUUGUGCUCGUAUCGGUUGUUGACUGAAUCAGGACUGUGGGUUUCGUUACCAUAAAAGAGGAGGGCCUUUUUAUAACAUACCACAAAAUAUGUAGCGAAAUUUCCAUUCAUUGUCAUGUAGGUCUUUUGCAAUGAGCUCCAGGCAUGGAGGCUGCAGAGAGAAAUCCUGUAGAAAAUUGAACGUGUCAUAUAUCUAAUUAACCCAAUUUAAAAUGCACAAAAUAUGACCAUUUCUUAUAAAUGGAUUGACAAAAACAAACUAAAUUUUACUGUACGUUACCAAU
This 1884-nucleotide long non-coding RNA is filed under the name Hordeum vulgare. Its description in RNAcentral is "long non-coding RNA (HVUL_LNC009289)". Lineage: Eukaryota; Viridiplantae; Streptophyta; Magnoliopsida; Poales; Poaceae. The record is from RNAcentral.